ACCUUUUGAUUACACACAUUUUGAUGACACACUCCUGUCACUUUUAAAGUAUGUUGUUGUGUAAUUGUCCUUCUUUUUCUGUCCACAGUUGUCUACAUGUAAUUAUUUUAAAAUGUAACAUUUUUUGUCAUUCACACAGAUUUGCUUUAAGGUAAGUGCUAAGGUCAACAUGCUCACAUGAUCUCGUUAACCUGCCGAUGCGUCACAGAAAGCAGGGAACACCGAGCACACGCUAACGUUACUUUCAAGUAAUGUUAUACAAAAAAUGUUUUAAGUUCAUAAGAGUGUCCAUUAAUUUAAUUAAUUGCACACCCGUGAGGAGACAAACCCUGUGGUUGAUUAGAACUUAUGUGCAACUGGUGACGUUUUGAGGCCUGCUAGUUAACAGAAGAAGUAAGAAGCUUAACCUGACUGAAAAUGGGUGUUGGAGGAGGAGGAUCAUACAGCAGAAUGUGUUUAGUCACUUGCAUCAGAGGAUGUCCAAAUUGACUGAUCAACCUCUUCAUUUAAAGGACGCACACCAACAGCAGGAUGACAGCUGGACGCAUGGCUGUGACCUUUAUUGUCAGCACUCAACAGCUGGAAUACGACCUGGAAAAGUGACUGAUGAAUAUCCAGAAAAACAUUGUUCAUUUGGAAGCAGUCAACACUCAACAGGCAGAUAUAAGAUCUACAGGACACAUUUUUACGUUCAGCUUCUGUCCGGCCCCACGCAGCCACACAUCAGCUCCAGUGUUUGACUGUCAUUGAGUUAUCUCUCUCUAGACCUCAGAUGUACUCGUUCUGUUCUGUUGUCCUAAAACACA
Molecule: long non-coding RNA, 806 nt
Organism: Scatophagus argus
Lineage: Eukaryota; Metazoa; Chordata; Actinopteri; Scatophagidae
Exons: 5
Source: RefSeq, a predicted model, not a curated record